RNAcentral lists this long non-coding RNA (250 nucleotides) under Elaeis guineensis (African oil palm). RNAcentral describes it as "long non-coding RNA (EGUI_LNC004994)". Lineage: Eukaryota; Viridiplantae; Streptophyta; Magnoliopsida; Arecales; Arecaceae. The record is from RNAcentral.
GCCCAACAAAUAUCAUCCCUUCUUGACUUUAAUAUUUCUAGAUUCUAAUGCAGCAUGCUUGCUCAGUACACUCUAUUAGUCUGGACUAAUCGUCGUAGAAUAUUUUAUAGAUAUUUUACUACCAUGAUGACAAAGCCUCCUGAUUGGCUUUGUCCUUUUAAAAUCUUGAGGGACAUACCCAAGUUAGUUCUAAGUAGGACUCUCUCAUAGCAUCUAGCUGAAGAUGUUAAACUUAAAGCUUGUUGAGAGG